RNAcentral lists this ribosomal RNA (1372 nucleotides) under uncultured bacterium. Its description in RNAcentral is "bacterial SSU rRNA". It matches the Rfam family "Bacterial small subunit ribosomal RNA", at positions 28 to 1381 of the family's 1533-position model. The record is from RNAcentral.
GAUGAACGCUGGCGGCGUGCCUAAUACAUGCAAGUCGAGCGAACGGACGAGAAGCUUGCUUUUCUGAUGUUAGCGGCGGACGGGUGAGCAACACGUGGAUAACCUACCUAUAAGACUGGGAUAACUUCGGGAAACCGGAGCUAAUACCGGAUAAUAUUUUGAACCGCAUGGUUCAAAAGUGAAAGACGGUCUUGCUGUCACUUAUAGAUGGAUCCGCGCUGCAUUAGCUAGUUGGUAAGGUAACGGCUUACCAAGGCAACGAUGCAUAGCCGACCUGAGAGGGUGAUCGGCCACACUGGAACUGAGACACGGUCCAGACUCCUACGGGAGGCAGCAGUAGGGAAUCUUCCGCAAUGGGCGAAAGCCUGACGGAGCAACGCCGCGUGAGUGAUGAAGGUCUUCGGAUCGUAAAACUCUGUUAUUAGGGAAGAACAUAUGUGUAAGUAACUGUGCACAUCUUGACGGUACCUAAUCAGAAAGCCACGGCUAACUACGUGCCAGCAGCCGCGGUAAUACGUAGGUGGCAAGCGUUAUCCGGAAUUAUUGGGCGUAAAGCGCGCGUAUGCGGUUUUUUAAGUCUGAUGUGAAAGCCCACGGCUCACCCGUGGAGGGUCAUUGGAAACUGGAAAACUUGAGUGCAGAAGAGGAAAGUGGAAUUCCAUGUGUAGCGGUGAAAUGCGCAGAGAUGUGGAGGAACACCAGUGGCGAAGGCGACUUUCUGGUCUGUAACUGACGCUGAUGUGCGAAAGCGUGGGGAUCAAACAGGAUUAGAUACCCUGGUAGUCCACGCCGUAAACGAUAAGUGCUAAGUGUUAGGGGGUUUCCGCCCCUUAGUGCUGCAGCUAACGCAUUAAGCACUCCGCCUGGGGAGUACGACCGCAAGGUUGAAACUCAAAGGAAUUGACGGGGGCCCGCACAAGCGGUGGAGCAUGUGGUUUAAUUCGAAGCAACGCGAAGAACCUUACCAAAUCUUGACAUCCUUUGACAACUCUAGAGAUAGAGCCUUCCCCUUCGGGGGACAAAGUGACAGGUGGUGCAUGGUUGUCGUCAGCUCGUGUCGUGAGAUGUUGGGUUAAGUCCCGCAACGAGCGCAACCCUUAAGCUUAGUUGCCAUCAUUAAGUUGGGCACUCUAAGUUGACUGCCGGUGACAAACCGGAGGAAGGUGGGGAUGACGUCAAAUCAUCAUGCCCCUUAUGAUUUGGGCUACACACGUGCUACAAUGGACAAUACAAAGGGCAGCGAAACCGCGAGGUCAAGCAAAUCCCAUAAAGUUGUUCUCAGUUCGGAUUGUAGUCUGCAACUCGACUACAUGAAGCUGGAAUCGCUAGUAAUCGUAGAUCAGCAUGCUACGGUGAAUACGUUCCCGGGUCU